RNAcentral lists this long non-coding RNA (8727 nucleotides) under Homo sapiens (human). Its description in RNAcentral is "HSALNT0408502". The record is from RNAcentral. Lineage: Eukaryota; Metazoa; Chordata; Mammalia; Primates; Hominidae.
CCGGGAGCAAGGUGGCAGGGUUUAGGGUGUCGCAAACUUCAAUGGUUAUGUGGGGAUUUUCACAUAGCAAGCUUUGGUACUUGGUUAAUCUAGCAUUUGUUAGCCAAUGAUGUCCUUUGGUAUUCAUCAAAGUUACCACAGCAUGGGGGGGUCUUUAUAUUCAGGUUUUGCCCAAGGGUUAGUUUAUCUGCUUCUUGUGCUAACAGGGCCAUUGCUGCCAGGGCCCUUAGCCAUGGGGGCCAGCCUUUGGAAACCCCGUCUAGUUGUUUUGAGAGAUAGGCCACUGGCCUUGGCCAGGGCCCCACAGUCUGGGUUAAAACUCCAACUGCCGUGUUUUCUUUUUCUGACACAUAGAGUGUAAAGGCUUUUGUCAGGUCGGGUAGCCUCAGGGCUGGGGCCAACAGGAGUUUUUCUUUUAACUCAUGAAAAGCUCAUUGCUGUUGGUUGUAAUAGAUGUAGUUUAUCCAAUUUACAUUUUUAUUAACUGCCACCCACCAAAAUAUUGACUCAAAUCCUGCAGCUAUUUGAUUUCAAGCUUUAAAUUGAUCUGGUAUUCCCCGUGGGACUCCAAUUGUGUCUAAAUAGACGUGAGAGUCAAAAAACCCAUAAGGGCCUUCUCUCGCUUUACAAUGUCUUAUUUUUCUUCCCUCUGGUUGAUGAAAUGCCAGGGUGAAAGGGAUAGCCAAUUGAACUAAAGUACAAGUGCCACUCCAGUUAUUCGGCAGAGUGCCCAGUAAAGGUCCACACACAAUCACAAUACCACCACACAUCCUGAAGAUCACGUUCUCAUCAAAGGGUGAAAAGAAAGGAAACUCGAUCCAGCCUAGGAAGGACCCUACCUUGUGCUGCUAAACACCGAGACUGCUGUUCAUACAGUGAAAAAAGGAUGGACUAAUCACAACCAAGUCAAGAAAGUGCCACCCCCUCCAGAGUCAUGGGCCAUAGUCCCAGGGGAAAACCUUACCAAACUAAAGCUAACAAAAAUUUAAGUCUUAAUCUAUUCUAUUACUCUUUCUUCUUACCUCGCUCUUUUGCUGACCAUCUGGUUAUUAACAUAACCAAGUCAAUUUUGCCUCAAACUAUUGCAUUUAAUGCUUGCCUUGUUAUACCCUGUGGGGACUUGCCCAGUCAAAGACAGCUCUCUACUUCAGAAAAGUACCUCUGUCCCUCCUGACUCUCCUCAGACUGGGCAUUAGUAAAUUAGGACCAUUUAAUCUGGGGAAAUUUUGAUUAAGACUCCAGUGUCAACCAGGAGUCUUGCUCCCCUAUGUAGAGCUUUUAUGCCGUAGUUGGUCCAACAUUCUGUGGACCACUAAAGAGCAAGGAUGGGCUGCCCCAACCGGUUUUUGUAAUUUCCUAAAAUCAUACAUUCAUUUUACUAGAGGAUGAUAGAAGUUAAAGACUUAAAACAAACUUUGGCAAUUAAGACAGGAUACCAAGAUGCAAAUGCCUGGUUGGAAUGGAUCAAAUAUUCCAUCUGCACGUUAAACAAAAGCAAUUGUUAUGCUUGUGCACAUGGCAGGCCAGAGGCCCAGAUUGUCCUCUUUCCACUAAGCAGCUGAUCCUCCAGUCGACCACACGUGGGCUGCAUGGUAGCUCUUAUCCAGGAUUCUACAGCCUGGAGUAGUAAGUCAUGCCAAGCUCUCUCUGCUAUAUCCCAAAGUCCGGUACCCUGCGGGUCAGCCCCCGAGGGCCAUCCAGCUUCCGUCUCCCAACACUAAGUUCACUUCGUGUCUCUCACAACAGGGAAGAAACUUAGCGUUCCUUGGAGACCUGAAGGGAUGCAGUGAGCUUAAGAAUUUUCAAGAGCUUAUCAAUCAGUCAGCCCUUGUUCAUCCCCGAGCGGAUAGGCUGGUGCUGGUUUACCGGAAAUUCUAGGGGUGGUACAUGUGCUAAAAGACUUUUAGUUUUGAGGGAAAGGAAAGUGGAAGAUAAACCAAGUAUAUAAUUUCUAAGAAGUUGACCUUUUGUUUUAAAUGUGGGGACAUCAGCAGUGGACUUUAUAGUUCUUGGUGCCUUUCCACUGAGAAAUUUCCUUUAGCACCUAUUUUUAUUAGUUUUUAGACCAAAGAAGCCAAAUACCAUUUUAUAUUUGACAAUGCUUCCUGUAUGAUUUUUAUACCAGAUAAGCUAAAUUUCACCUUUAUAUUAGUGUGUUAUUAAUGUUAAACUUAGUUUUAAUAAAACUUUGUAUACAUAUUUAUUGAAUUUUUCAUGUUGGACCAUCAGGUAAGAUUUUUAUAGACUCACUUUUUAUAAUCUUUGUUAAAGAGCAGGUUAGUGCUUUAAGAAAAACCCAUUGUGUUUUUACUUUAAUGUCCAAUUCACAGAAAAACUGGAUGUUACCCCUUUACCUUUGGCUAAUAUGUUUACACACAGAAUUUCCUUUACAAUUAACAUUUUAAAACUUGCUUAAACCUUCAAAAUAGUUUUUUUAACCUUUUAAUGUAUGUAACAACUUACAUUCUUUUGCCUCCUUAUAAUCCUUUUACCAAAGUUAUAUUUUACUUUCCUUAUACACCUUGCACAUAAACUGUUUAUUUCAAUAGUUUUACAUUCAGGAGGCCUAGUUACUUUUAAAUUAUACAACUUUUCUUGCAUAAAUUCUUUUUUUUUAUAACAUAUUUCUCUUUCACAACUUUUGCAGACAAUUCUUAGCAAUGCCUGAACUUUCUGACUUAUUACAAACAUUUCUUUCUUUAAACAACCAGUUAAUUUAUUUCAGGACAAGAAUUUACCAUAUAACACUUUUUUUACAUAAAUUCUGCCCCUCCUUUUCUUCUUUUUUUUUUUUUCAGAGAUAACCAUUCUUUUCCAAAGCGAACUUGCUUUAUGACUGUGGACUAGACUGUCUAAGGCCACAAGAUUAUAAUUUACUAUAAUACAUGUUACAAUGUUAGCUUUUAGCAAACUUUACUUUUGUUGAAAACCUUGCAAGUUUGGGAUUUUAAUUAUCCUUUGCUAUUAAUAAGACCUUGUUUUGUCCAAAUUAACUUAGAAUUGGUAUAGAUGGCUUUUUUUUUUUUUUUCCUUCAAUUACCCGGGAGGAACCAUUGAUGGUCCUGUCCUGUAGGGAAUUCUGGUCUGGUCGGACCUUUGUAUGGUAAUUAAGACUUAGAUGCCCUGUUAGGAAAACUUCUGGGUUAAGGGAUUUUUUUCGUGGUUAAUGUUAAAACAUCCUUUUUUUUUUUUUUUUUUUUCCUUAGGAUACUUCUGAACUGGUGAGGUAUGCUCACACUGAGGUUUCCUCUAAAAGUUAUUUUUUUACUUUCUUCUGUUAGCAAAGCCAUUGCCGCUACAGACUGAAUGCAUCUGGGCCAUUCGUGGGUUACUGGGUUAAAGAUUUUUGAUAGGAAGGCUACGGGUUAUCAGUGGCCUCUGUGCUUUCGGGAUAUGCCCUUGUUUACACUGACAACAAAGUGGUAUUGGAGUGUUAUAGGGUUACAGAGAAUACCUUCAAUUAUCAAUUAUAGGUUUUAAAUUUACCCUGGCUUUUAAAGGAAUAGGGCACACUUUUUUUUAACUACUUGUAUAUUUCUCUGUCUUUGACAUUGUCUCUCUUUUUGACUUUCCUUUUGCCUCUGUCUCUUCCUCUCUCUCUCUUUCUCCUUGACUCCCUCUUUGUCUCUCUGUCUCUUCCUCUCUCUCUUCUUCUCUCUCUUUGCCUCUUUUCCUGUCUCUUUCUUCUCUGUCUCUUUGCUGGUCUUUCCUUGCCUCUGCCAGCUGCUUAUGCUGCUGUUCUCUCAACCACCGUGGGGGUAGGGAGGGGGUCUAAAACCAGCUGUAACCAAGUGUCUAUGUACGGGAACUGGUCUGGGCACCCUGGCUUACAGGUUACCUUGUGCCAUACCUUUGAAACAAGGGACCAGUCCAUGCUUCCUUCUGAUGGCCAACCCACCUCUAAUGCUGGCCAGUCUAUUUCACACAAAGUCCUAAGUUUUCCUGGUGUCAUAGUAACACCGUAAUCUCCCUUAAAUCCUUUCUUGAAAUUUUUCAACAUAGUUCCUAGUGGGGUGGGCUUACUUUGUGCCUGACCCAUGCUUCCUCAAGACAAAACACCACGCUCACACCGCACGCACACCACAAAAAGAACGGGUAAAAAGGGCACACACACACUUUUACAGUUUACACCAAACCAGAAUCAAAACCAAAAUCAGAGUAUCAAGAAAUCCAAGCCAGGUCAAAACCAAAACCAAAGUAUCAAGCAAUCCAAGUCAAGUCAAAAACAAAAAACCAAACUGCCAGUACAGGCAUGCCAUGGGUGAUCAGGCCACGCUUCCACUCAAAUGGAGUAGGCAAUUUCCAAAGACUAGUCUUACCAAGUUUCAGAUGUCUGGACUCCAAGUGCCAGUUCCUUCCCGGCGUUCAGCCACUGCGUUGAUCCUCCACAGGGGCCUGCCACGCACUGCUCUGGUGAGGCGUUCCACUGGGACAAUUGCCUACCCAGGAGCACUCUCAGGAUCUGCGUUGCUCAAGCUGGCCGGAGUCCCCCACAGAGAUGCUCCAUGGGGUAGGCCUAAACUGCCUAAGGGGCUGCCUCGACCGUCUGUUAAUCACCUCACUUCCUGGUCAGGGAACCAAGAAAUGUAGCAGGACAAGCCACAGACAAAACCCCUCAGACACUGAGUUAAAGAAGGAAGGGCUUUAUUCGGCCAGGAGCUUCGGGAAGACUCACAUCUCCAACAACUGAGCUCCUCUAGUGAGCAAUUCCUGUCCUUUUUAAGGGCUCACAACUCUAAGGGGGUCCCUGUGAGAGGGUCGUGAUCAAUUGAGCAAGCAGGGGGUAUGUGGCUGGGGGCUGGAUGCACUGGUAAUUAGAAUGGAACAGAACAGGACAGGGAUCUUUACAGUGCUUUUCUUAUGCAAAUAACCGAUUAGGUCAGGGGUCAAGCUUUAACUACCAGGCCUAGGGUGUGGCGCCAGGCUGUCCGCUUGUGGAUUUCAUUUCUGCCUUUUACUUUUUACUACUUCUUUCUUUGGAGGCAGAAAUUGGGCAUAAGACAAUAUGAGGGGUGGUCUCCUCCCUUAACAUCAUAGUAAUUGGGGGAAUCUUGGAAAGGAUUUUCUCUAAAACAGAAACAACACAAGGAUGCCAAAUUUUUCCACUCUCAUUUAAUGUAUUAGGGUAUGUCCUAGCCAGAGCAAUCAGGAAAGAAAAAUAAAUAAAAGGAAUCCAAAUUUAAAAAGAGGAAGUUUAAUUAUCCCUGUUUGCUGAUGAUAGAAUCAUAUAUCUAGAAAAACCUAGACUCCGCCAAAGAACUCUGAUUUGAUGAACGAAUUCAAUAAAGUUGAAGAAUACAAAAAUAUUAUUGUACAAAUAUCAGUAGUGUUUCUAUAUACCAAUAAUGACCUUGCAAAGAAAGAAAUCAAGAAGGCAAUCCCAUUUACAAUAGCUACAAAAAAAACCCUAGCAAUAAAUUUAACCAAGGAGGUGAAAGAUUUCUACAAGGAAAAUUACAAAACACUGCUGGAAUAAAUUGUAGAUGACACAAACAAAUGGAAGAAUAUCACAUGUUCAUAAAUUGAAAUAAUUAAUAUAAAUAAAGUGACUCAUAUGGUUUGGUUCCAUGUCCCCAACCAAAUCUCAUGUUGAAUUGUAAUUCCCAAUGUUGGGGGAGGGACCUUGUGGGAGGUAAUUGGAUCAGGGGGGUGGAUUUCCCCCAUGCUGUUCUUGUGACUGUGAGUUCUCAGGAGAUCUGAUGGUUUAAAAGUGUGUGGCAUUUCCCCCUUGCUUGCUCUUGUUCCACCACGGUAAAGACGUGCUUGCUUCCCCUUCACCUUCUGGCAUGAUUGUUACUGAGGCCUCCCAUUCAUGCUUCCUGCAAAGUGGAACUGUGAGUUUUUAAACCUCUUUUCUUUGUAAAUUACAGUCUCAGGUAGUUCUUUAUAGCAGUGUGAGAACAGACUAAUAGAAUGACCAUAACUGCCUAAUCUACAGAUUCAAUGCAAUUCCCAUCAAAAUACCAGUGUCGCUUUUCACAGAAUUAGAAAAAACAACCAUAAGAUUCAUAUGGAACCAAAACAAAGCCCAAGUAACCAAAGCAAUCUUAAGCAAAAAGAUCACAGCUGGAAGCAUCACUUUAUUUGCCUUCAAAUAAUAUUACAACGCUCUAGUAAGCAAAAUAACAUGAUAGUGAUAUAAAAAUAGUAUACAGAUUAAUAUAAAAGAAUAGUGAAUCCAGAAAUAAAGCCACAUAUUUACAGCCAACUGAUUUUUGACAAAACCAACAACACAUACAGUGGGGGAAAGAAGACCCGCUUUAAUAAAUGGCUUAAAAAUUGAAUAUCUAUUGCAGAAAAAUGAAACUGAAUCCUUAUCUCUCACCACAUACAAAAACCAUCUCAAGAUGGAUUAAAACUUACAUGUAAGACCCAAUACUUUAAAAAUGUUAGAAGGAAACCUAGAGUAAACUCUUCUGGACAUUGAUCUAGGCACCAAAUUAAUGAUUAAGAACUCAAAAGCACAGGCAACAGAAGAAAAAAUAGACAAAUGGGACUUAAUUAAACUAAAAAGCUUCUUCGCAGCAAAGGAAACAAUCAACAUAGAGAAGAGACAACCUGUUAUAUGGGAGAAAAUAUUUUCAAACUAUCAAUCCAACAGAGGACUAAUAUCCAGAAUAUACAAGGAACUCAAACAAUAAAAUCAAAUAAUCCCAUGUGGGACAAAAGACAUGAACAGACAUUUUUCAAAAGAGACAUACAAAUGGCCAACAGGUAUAUGAAAAAAUGCUCAUCAUUAAUCAUCAGGGAAAUGCAAAUCAAAACCACAAUGAUAUUUCAUUUUACCCCAGCUAGAAUGGCCAUUAUUAAAAAGACAAAAAAGAGCAGAUGUUGGUGAGGAUAUGGAGAAAAGAGAACUCAUAUACUGUUGCUCGGAAUGGAUAUUAGUACAGCCUUUACGGAAAACAGUAUGGUUUUUCAAAGAACUAAAAGAACUAUCAUUCAAUCCAGCAAUACCACUGCUAGGUAUCUACUGAAAGGAAAAAAAUCAAUAUAUCAAAAACAUACUUGCUCUUGCAUGUUUAUCACACCACUAUUCAUAGCAAAGGGGAAUCAACCUAAGUGUCUAUCAAUAGAUAAAUGAGUAAGAAAAUGUGGUGUAUAUACAUAAUGGAAUCCUAUUCAACCAUAAAAAAGAAUACAAUCAAGUAUUUUGCAGCCAUACAGAUGAAACUGAAGGUCAUUAUCUUUGCUAUCUUCUAGACAAAAGGUCUUGCUAUGUCACCCAGGCUGGAGUGUCUUGGCACAAUUAUAGCACACUGCAGCCUUGAAAUCCUGGGCUGAAGUAAUCCCUCCUCCUCAGCCUUCCAACUAGCCAGGACUACAGGUUCAUGCCACAGCUCCAGCUAUUUAUUUUUAUUUUUAUUUGUAAAGAGAAGGUCUUGAAAUUAUGCGCAGCCUGGUCUUGAAAUUUUGGCAUCAAGCAAUCUGGCUGCGUUGGCCUUCUAAAUUCCUGGGAUUACAGGCACAAGCCACCACACUCAUCCUGGAAAUCAUUAUCUUAAGUGAAACGAGCCAGGCACAGAAAGACAAAUAUUACCUGUUAUCACUCCUAAGUGGGUGCUACAAAAUGUGUUCACAUGGACAUAGACAGAUAAUGGACAUAGAUAGAUAAUGUAGACUUGAAAGGUGAGGGAGUGGGAGUAGGGAGAAUGAUGAGAAAUUAUUUAAUGGCUACAGCAUACAUUAUUUAGGUGACAAAUACCCUAAAAGCCCUGACUUGACCACCAUGCAACCUAUGUAUGUAACAAAAUAGCAUAUGCGCCUGAUAAAUGUAUUUUUUAAAAAAAAUCAGUGAGUCUCUAUGUUUUACUAUCUCAUGACCAAAAUUCUAAAAUGAAAGUUGAAAGUAUUUUUAUAUGAGCAUAUAUAUGAAAGUAUUUUUAUAUGUGUAUAUAUACAUUUAGAUGUGUUUACACAUAUGUACAUGUACUGUGUUAUAUGUUACAUGUACAUAAUAAAAUCUGGUAUAAUUAGCUUGACAUCCCUCAAAAUAUUUUAUUUAGAUAUAUUGGGUGCACAUAUAAAAUCAAUAGUAUACUAAUUAUCCCAUUCAAUAAAAUUAUAGAAACAGUCUUGCUCUUUCACCUAGAAUGGAGUACAGUGGCAUAAUCAUAGCUCACUGCAACCUUGAAAUUCUGGGCCCUUGAAAUUCUUUCUGCCACAGCCUCCCAAGUAGCUAGGAUUAUAGGCACCUGGCACCCCAACUUUUUUUUUUUUUUUAGUUCACAAGUAAAUCUUGAUAAAUUGGUUUAAAAAUGGUUGAAAAAAUAAAAUUAGAAAUAUCUUCAAAAGUGUCAACAUACAUUCUCACUUGAGUUUACUGGUCACACAGUUUUAUAUAUGCCUCUGCUAGAUCUUUUAAUGUAAUAAGGUGAUAAAGCCUAAAACAACAUAAUCUUUAACCCUUUGAUAAGAUUAAUUUAAUAUUGUUGCUUUAAUAAAAUCAGCCGUGUCUCCUGACUUAUUGACAGGAUUUAUACAAUAGGACUUAUUGACCUAUGUAUUUAACCUUAAAGUUCUUACUUAGGGAAAUUCCUGAUAUUAACAGGCAAUAAAAUUCGUUAAUAAAAACCUAAUAACUAGCUAUGUCUAGUAUCUCAAUUUUCAUAGGUAAUCAAGGUAUAAUUGUUAAAAAAUAAAUAAAUUAGGUAAUUGCAAACAGAGUAAGCAUUUACAAAUAAAUUUUCAUGUAAUUUAAAAUCUUAAAGUUAUGUUAAAUUAAAU